Molecule: ribosomal RNA, 253 nt
Filed under: uncultured bacterium
Lineage: Bacteria
Description: partial 16S ribosomal RNA
Rfam family: Bacterial small subunit ribosomal RNA
Source: RNAcentral
UACGUAGGGUGCAAGCGUUAAUCGGAAUUACUGGGCGUAAAGCGUGCGCAGGCGGUUUUGUAAGUCUGAUGUGAAAUCCCCGGGCUCAACCUGGGAAUUGCGUUGGAGACUGCAAGGCUAGAAUCUGGCAGAGGGGGGUAGAAUUCCACGUGUAGCAGUGAAAUGCGUAGAGAUGUGGAGGAACACCGAUGGCGAAGGCAGCCCCCUGGGUCAAGAUUGACGCUCAUGCACGAAAGCGUGGGGAGCGAACAGG